This 471-nucleotide ribosomal RNA is filed under the name uncultured bacterium. RNAcentral describes it as "bacterial SSU rRNA". It matches the Rfam family "Bacterial small subunit ribosomal RNA", at positions 60 to 524 of the family's 1533-position model. The record is from RNAcentral.
AGUCGAACGGCAGCAUAGGUGCUUGCACCUGAUGGCGAGUGGCGAACGGGUGAGUAAUAUAUCGGAACGUGUCCGGAAGUGGGGGAUAACGCAGCGAAAGUUGCGCUAAUACCGCAUAUGCCCUGAGGGGGAAAGGGGGGGAUCGCAAGACCUCUCGCUUUCGGAGUGGCCGAUAUCGGAUUAGCUAGUUGGUGGGGUAAAGGCCUACCAAGGCGACGAUCCGUAGCUGGUCUGAGAGGACGACCAGCCACACUGGGACUGAGACACGGCCCAGACUCCUACGGGAGGCAGCAGUGGGGAAUUUUGGACAAUGGGCGCAAGCCUGAUCCAGCCAUGCCGCGUGAGUGAAGAAGGCCUUCGGGUUGUAAAGCUCUUUCAGACGGAAAGAAAACGUGCAGAUUAAUACUCUGUAUGGAUGACGGUACCGUCAGAAGAAGCACCGGCUAACUACGUGCCAGCAGCCGCGGUAAU